GCCUUCCCUAGCUCUAUGCAGACAAAGGGCUGUGAAGUGGCCUGGCCAGUGUCCCUCCUGACCUCUGAGUACAGAAUUCCCACAUGACCACUGGGACACAUGAGGUGCCAGGAAACUUAUGGUGUAUCUCUCGUACUCAUCCACUGGGCGUUCCAUACAGAUUAGGGGAGGUGAUGAACUCGGCGGAUUUGGGCACAACAAGGAGGAUACCAUUUGGUGCCCAUUUAGUUGCUGUGCCUGUUAUGGCUUAGGAAUUACAAAAGCUGAUGAAAUACGGGAUGAAGGGAGUGCUGCUGUAAUCUGGUGUAGCGGAAGGAAUGGCCACCUAGUUUCGCUUUCCAACUACAAACACCAUGGGGAUCUCGUGGUUUAAGGGCCAGACCAAAUGAUUUCGAGGGCCUGGACCGGACGUUCCCCACUGCUGCAAGGGAUAAAUAAAUCAUGUACCAGAUACUAUUGGAUAAAACUCACAGGCACAUUACUCAUCCUGGCAAGACUGGGGGAAAAUGACUAUUUUCUGACAUUCACUUUUUAAGGAGAUUUACUUAUUUUCCUAUUGGAUUGACCGUGUUGACCUUCUCACUAUGUGUUGCUACACCAGCCGUGGGCAAACUACGGCCCGCAGGCCGGAUUCGACC
Molecule: long non-coding RNA, 638 nt
Organism: Myotis lucifugus (little brown bat)
Lineage: Eukaryota; Metazoa; Chordata; Mammalia; Chiroptera; Vespertilionidae
Exons: 5
Source: RefSeq, a predicted model, not a curated record